CCGCACCCCACGACCUUCCUCAUCCACUAACCACCGCCGCCGCCGCCGGUGUGCCGCCCGUGCACCUCGCCUCCUCCCUCGCGUCGCCUCCGAACCGCGCCAGCUCGCCGUCGCCGACCUCCCGCCGCGGAUCCCCGUCGCCACCCCAGCACGCCUCGCGUCUUCCAGCCAGCAUGCGCCGCCAUGAGCAGCAGCCCCCAACCUCCGGGCCCCGCCGCCGGGGAUCUCGCAGAUCAGCCGUGCUAGCAUCCCCACGAAGAAGCCCAUCGCACCGGCCCAGUUGUCCGUCAUGGAUGCAACC
This 301-nucleotide ribosomal RNA is filed under the name Triticum aestivum (bread wheat). Its description in RNAcentral is "partial small subunit ribosomal RNA". Lineage: Eukaryota; Viridiplantae; Streptophyta; Magnoliopsida; Poales; Poaceae. The record is from RNAcentral.